GACGAACGCUGGCGGCGUGCUUAACACAUGCGAGUCGAACGGAAAGGCCCCGCUUUUGUGGGGUGCUCGAGUGGCGAACGGGUGAGUAACACGUGAGUAACCUGCCCUUGACUUUGGGAUAACUUCAGGAAACUGGGGCUAAUACCGGAUAGGAGCUCCUGCUGCAUGGUGGGGGUUGGAAAGUUUCGGCGGUUGGGGAUGGACUCGCGGCUUAUCAGCUUGUUGGUGGGGUAGUGGCUUACCAAGGCUUUGACGGGUAGCCGGCCUGAGAGGGUGACCGGCCACAUUGGGAAUGAGAUACGGCCCAGACUCCUACGGGAGGCAGCAGUGGGGAAUAUUGCACAAUGGGCGGAAGCCUGAUGCAGCAACGCCGCGUGCGGGAUGACGGCCUUCGGGUUGUAAACCGCUUUCGCCUGUGACGAAGCGUGAGUGACGGUAAUGGGUAAAGAAGCACCGGCUAACUACGUG
RNAcentral lists this ribosomal RNA (468 nucleotides) under uncultured bacterium. RNAcentral's name for it is "partial 16S ribosomal RNA". It matches the Rfam family "Bacterial small subunit ribosomal RNA", at positions 28 to 507 of the family's 1533-position model. The record is from RNAcentral.